RNAcentral lists this ribosomal RNA (509 nucleotides) under uncultured bacterium. RNAcentral's name for it is "bacterial SSU rRNA". It matches the Rfam family "Bacterial small subunit ribosomal RNA", at positions 791 to 1297 of the family's 1533-position model. The record is from RNAcentral.
UAGUCCACGCCGUAAACGAUGAGCACUAGUUAUGGGGGGUAUUGACUCCUUCCGUGACGCAGCUAACGCAUUAAGUGCUCCGCCUGGGGAGUACGGUCGCAAGACUAAAACUCAAAGGAAUUGACGGGGGCCCGCACAAGCGGUGGAUUAUGUGGUUUAAUUCGAAGCAACGCGCAAAACCUUACCUGGGCUUGAACUCCUGAGAAUCUUGGGUAAUUCCGAGAGUGCCCUUCGGGGAAUUCAGUGAGAGGUGCUGCAUGGCUGUCGUCAGUUCGUGUUGUGAAAUGUUGGGUUAAGUCUCGCAACGAGCGCAACCCCUAUCUUUAGUUGCCAGCAUUAAGUUGGGCACUCUAGAGAGACUGCCCGGGUUAACCGGGAGGAAGGUGGGGAUGACGUCAAGUCCUCAUGGCCCUUAUGUCCAGGGCUACACACGUAAUACAAUGGUGCAUACAGAGGGACGCGAACUCGCGAGGGGGAGGCAAAUCUCAAAAAGUGCAUCUCAGUCCGGA